GUGCGCGCCCGGAGCAGGGGCGGGAGCCCGCGGGGCCCGGAGGCUCAGAGGGCGGCGGGCCGAGGAGGAGGAGACGCGCCGGGAGCAGAGCGCAGGCUCCGCCGCGGUCCGGGCGCUCCGGCCGAGCCAGCCCAGCGGGCGGACCGACGGGGAGGAGGCGCCGGCGCGCGCGCGGCCCCCGGCAGCCGCCCGCGGAGCAGCCGCCGACGCGCGGGGCCGCGGACCCAGCCUUCGCCGCCCGGCCGGGCAUGAGCGCGGAGGGCCCGCGGCCGCCCCCUGCACCGCCCGGCGCGCUCGGGCCGUGACCGGAGCGGGGGGCGCGGCCGCACUCGGACCCCGGAGCCCAUGGGCGCGCCGAGCCGGGCGCGGGGGCGCUGAGCGGCGGAGCGGGCGCGGCCGGAGGAGCCAUGGACUGCAGCCUCGUGCGGACGCUCGUGCACAGAUACUGUGCAGGAGAAGAGAACUGGGUGGACAGCAGGACCAUCUACGUGGGGCACAGGGAGCCACCUCCGGGCGCAGAGGCCUACAUCCCACAGAGGUACCCAGACAACAGGAUCGUCUCCUCCAAGUACACAUUUUGGAACUUUAUACCCAAGAAUUUAUUUGAACAAUUCAGAAGAAUAGCCAACUUUUAUUUCCUUAUCAUAUUUCUGGUGCAGUUGAUCAUUGACACGCCCACAAGUCCAGUCACAAGUGGACUCCCACUCUUCUUUGUCAUUACUGUCACGGCUAUCAAACAGGGCUAUGAAGACUGGCUUCGACAUAAAGCGGACAACGCCAUGAACCAGUGUCCCGUUCAUUUCAUCCAGCACGGCAAGCUCGUCCGGAAGCAAAGCCGGAAGCUGCGAGUUGGGGACAUUGUCAUGGUCAAGGAGGACGAGACCUUUCCCUGCGACUUGAUCUUCCUUUCCAGCAACCGGGGAGAUGGGACGUGCCAUGUCACAACCGCCAGCUUGGACGGAGAAUCCAGCCAUAAGACGCAUUACGCCGUGCAGGACACAAAAGGCUUCCACACGGAGGAGGAUAUCGACGGCCUUCACGCCACCAUCGAGUGCGAGCAGCCGCAGCCUGACCUCUACAAGUUCGUGGGUCGCAUCAACGUUUACAGUGACCUGAAUGACCCUGUGGUGAGGCCCUUAGGAUCAGAAAACUUGCUGCUUAGAGGAGCCACACUGAAGAACACGGAGAAAAUCUUCGGUGUGGCUAUCUACACGGGCAUGGAAACCAAGAUGGCACUGAAUUAUCAGUCGAAAUCGCAGAAGCGGUCUGCCGUGGAAAAAUCCAUGAAUGUGUUCCUCAUUGUGUACCUCUGCAUCCUGAUCAGCAAAGCCCUGAUAAACACGGUCCUGAAGUACGUGUGGCAGAGCGAGCCCUUCCGGGAUGAGCCGUGGUAUAAUCAGAAAACGGACUCGGAAAGACAGAGGAAUCUGUUUCUCAAGGCCUUCACAGACUUCCUGGCCUUCAUGGUCCUCUUCAACUACAUCAUCCCCGUGUCCAUGUACGUCACGGUCGAGAUGCAGAAAUUCCUUGGCUCUUACUUCAUCACCUGGGACGAAGACAUGUUUGAUGAGGAGACUGGCGAGGGGCCUCUGGUGAACACGUCAGACCUCAACGAAGAGCUGGGACAGGUGGAGUACAUCUUCACAGACAAGACCGGCACCCUCACGGAGAACAACAUGGAGUUCAAGGAGUGCUGCAUCGAAGGCCACGUCUACGUGCCUCACGUCGUCUGCAACGGGCAGGUCCUCCCAGACGCCUCAGGGAUCGACAUGAUCGACUCGUCCCCCAGCGUCAGCGGGAGGGAGCGCGAGGAGCUGUUUUUCCGGGCCCUCUGUCUCUGCCACACGGUCCAGGUGAAAGACGAAGACAGCAUGGACGGCCCCAGGAAGUCGCCGGAUGGGGGCAAGUCCUGCGUGUACAUCUCGUCCUCGCCCGACGAGGUGGCGCUGGUCGAAGGUGUCCAGAGACUUGGCUUUACGUACCUGAGGCUAAAGGACAAUUACAUGGAGAUACUGAACAGAGACAACGACGUGGAAAGGUUUGAAUUGCUGGAAAUUUUGAGUUUUGACUCAGUAAGAAGGAGAAUGAGUGUCAUUGUGAAAUCUGCUGAAGGAGACAUUUAUCUGUUUUGCAAAGGAGCAGAUUCUUCGAUAUUCCCCCGAGUGAUAGAAGGCAAAGUUGACCAGAUACGAGCCAGAGUGGAGCGGAACGCGGUGGAGGGACUGCGGACUUUGUGCGUGGCCUAUAAAAGGCUGAUCCCAGAAGAAUAUGAAGGCGUCUGUCAACUGCUGCAGGCUGCCAAGGUGGCCCUUCAAGAUCGAGAGAAAAAGUUAGCAGAAGCAUAUGAGCAGAUCGAGAAAGAUCUUAUUCUGCUUGGUGCUACGGCUGUCGAGGACCGGCUGCAGGAGAAAGCUGCAGACACCAUCGAGGCCCUGCAGAAGGCCGGGAUCAAGGUCUGGGUUCUCACGGGAGACAAGAUGGAGACGGCCGCGGCCACGUGCUACGCCUGCAAGCUCUUCCGCAGGAAUACGCAGCUGCUGGAGCUCACCACCAAGAGGAUCGAGGAGCAGAGCCUGCACGACGUCCUGUUCGAGCUGAGCAAGACGGUCCUUCGCCACAGCGGGAGCCUGACCAGGGACACCUUCUCCGGGCUUUCGGCAGACAUGCAGGACUACGGUCUGAUCAUCGAUGGAGCCGCGCUGUCUCUGAUCAUGAAGCCGCGAGAAGACGGAAGUUCCGGCAACUACAGGGAGCUCUUCCUGGAGAUCUGCCGCAGCUGCAGCGCGGUGCUGUGCUGCCGUAUGGCGCCCUUGCAGAAGGCCCAGAUUGUCAAAUUAAUCAAAUUUUCAAAAGAGCACCCAAUCACCUUAGCAAUUGGCGACGGUGCGAACGAUGUCAGCAUGAUCCUGGAAGCACACGUGGGCAUAGGUGUCAUCGGCAAGGAAGGCCGCCAGGCGGCCCGGAACAGCGACUACGCAAUUCCGAAGUUCAAGCAUUUGAAGAAGAUGCUGCUUGUUCACGGGCAUUUUUAUUACAUCAGGAUAUCUGAGCUCGUGCAGUACUUCUUUUAUAAGAACGUCUGCUUCAUCUUCCCCCAGUUUUUAUACCAGUUCUUCUGUGGGUUUUCACAACAGACUUUGUACGACACCGCGUACCUGACGCUGUACAACAUCAGCUUCACCUCCCUCCCCAUCCUCCUGUACAGCCUCAUGGAGCAGCACGUCGGGAUCGACGUGCUCAAGAGAGACCCGACCCUGUACAGGGACGUCGCCAAGAACGCCCUGCUGCGGUGGCGUGUCUUCAUUUACUGGACGCUCCUGGGACUGUUCGAUGCGCUGGUGUUCUUCUUUGGUGCUUAUUUCAUGUUUGAAAACACAACCGUGACGAGCAACGGGCAGAUAUUUGGAAACUGGACGUUUGGGACGCUGGUGUUCACUGUGAUGGUGUUCACGGUCACACUAAAGCUUGCGUUAGACACACACUACUGGACUUGGAUCAACCAUUUUGUCAUCUGGGGGUCACUGCUGUUCUACGUCGUCUUCUCGCUUCUCUGGGGAGGAGUGAUCUGGCCGUUCCUCAACUACCAGAGGAUGUACUACGUGUUUAUCCAGAUGCUGUCCAGCGGGCCCGCCUGGCUGGCCAUCGUGCUGCUGGUGACCGUCAGCCUCCUUCCCGACGUCCUCAAGAAGGUCCUGUGCCGGCAGCUGUGGCCGACGGCAACAGAGAGAGUCCAGACUAAGAGCCAGUGCCUUUCUGUCGAGCAGUCAACCAUCUUUAUGCUUUCUCAGACUUCCAGCAGCCUGAGUUUCUGACGGAACAAGGUGAUACUCCCUGCCUUCCGCGCGCUUGGGGCGGUAGACCUGGGGCAGCAGGCUCCACCCCUCCCAGAGCCCCGAGUCCACACGCUGUAGCACAGCGUCCGCAGGCGCCAGGCACAGCAGCCCCACACCAGGAAGCCCACUACCACUUCACCUUCAGACUGCUGGUGGGCUAUGUUUUCCAUCAGUCACAUGUAACCAGGGCUUCUCCCUCAGCGUCUGUCCACACAGCCCGAGACCCCACCCGUGAAGGCUCGGACAGAGCUGACAGUGAGAGCCGGCCAUAUGACUCCUCACACAGGUGUCAGAGGGGUCCCUAGGCAGGAAGGGGUGGUCACCCAGGCCCUGAGCUCAGCACAGCCUUCCCUCCGCAGCCUGCAGGGCAGGGACCACCAGGCCUCCUCCCUCACGCACCCACUUCCGUGCCCAUUCUGCAGCUGGAAAGACUGAGGCAGCUAGCGUCACAUGGUGUGCUCAGGACCCAUGCAUAAUUCAGAAAACGGGACCCAGGCUGAGCCACAAAGCUGGAGACGGGGACAGAAGUGUUUGGUGUCAAAUGUUUGACCAAAUUCCCUUUUUAAGUUUCUUUAAAUGAAGACUUCAUUGUUUUUUUAAAAAGCCUUUUAUUAAUAAUUUGCCUUAAAAAUGGCCACCCUGGCCCUUCUGGGCAACGCAGAGGUGUUCACAUGCCACUUUCCUGAGGUGGCAUCCGUGGUCAGAGCUCUCGUCAGGGUGCAGGCUGCAGGGGCCACGCGUCGUCAGGUCGCCUUCUGUCUUUCAGCGUGUGCUCCUGCGCCGUGUGCUUGGGGCACCGUGGGAACGCCAGUGGGGAUCCUCCCCCGUCCCACCCUUUGUUCACACAUGCCUCAGAAUCAGGGAUGCUUUGGAAAUACAUACCUGGUAUUACUGUUUUACCAAACGCAGCUUAGAAAAAUGCCCAGAGUAGAAAAAGGCUUUUUUUCCCUUUAAUAAUAUCAUCUUCUAUAUAUUUUAAACACUAUUUUUAACUGGCAACAUGGUCUUUUUUUAAGUCCAAGUAAUUAAUAGGAAUCAAAAUUUUUCUAAUUUAGUGUCAUCAGAAUUUGUUAGAUUAAAUUACAGAAUUUCAUCUCGCCGUUUUCAUACUUGAAAACAUUCAGGAUGAAAUCACUAGGAGCACUUUAACAAGUCAUAGGAGGCCCUAAAGAAACUGAGUACAUCACACCAACUCUGGGAUAAAAAUACACAUUGUUUAACUAUCGCUGAAGUUCGCUGGGAGCUGAUUUGCUUCUGAGCAGGUGCAGAAGCUGAGCCCCGCUUCUUAGUGACCACGGCACGGAGGUUGUCCUGGCCUCCGCGAGGCCUCGGGCCCCAGCGUGGCCCCUGCAGGCAGGGCCGGCACGCACCUGAACGCAAAGCGCCCAGCACGCACAGGACACGCUGUGGUGCUGAGACCACCCGCGUUCCGCAAAACUUUGGAGGAAUAGACAUGUCAGCAGUCCUGACGCGGGCAUACGCUACUUCAGAAGGAUGGCUGCCUUUUAACCUGUUCCUAUGGGAAGGAAAAACCUCGCGGGCAUCAGGUGUACGCGUUAUAUAUGUGCAGCUCACAUAUAUAAGUCCACGCUGGCACCCCUCUGUGAUCUGUCUGCAGUUCACCUCUCCGUCACUGUCCCUGGCAAGGCUGGCAGCCUUAGCCUCUUUCCUGCUUCUCCUUGCCCGGACGUUCGCCCACUCGGACCUGCGGUUCUUCAGCUCCUGCGCUUCCCUUAUUCUUUGAAUAGACUGAGCCUGGGCUGCAGGAUCUCAGUGGAGCUCUGUGAGCACGUUGGCCUCGGGACACUCGGCCGCAGGGCCCUGGCAGAGCGGCUCCUGGGGCUGGCUGGCUGCCAUGGAAACGGGCAUGUGGCCAGAUGUGUGGCUUCAGGAUUCCAGAGGUGCCCGUGGACCUUCCAGCUGAGGGACUGAGACCCUCUGCCUCCCACAGGUGCCGUGACCUGUACCUGAGCUGGAGGCUGCCUCCGUUCUGGGCUUGGGCUCCCCCUGGGAGCGGCCCUGCUGGGACAGCGUCUGUUUUCCCGGAGAGGCCCCGAGCCCUUGCCCUGGCAGCUCCAUGACGCCCCAUGCAGACUUUAACAGGGGCUCAGAGCCUCUUCCUGCUGGGGCCCACAGAUGGUGCAGGCAGAGGCCCGGGUGCUCCUGGUUCCCAUGGGUGGCAGCUCAGUAGCCCCGCGUGGCCCGUGUUGGGUGGCACCGCUCAGUGUCUUUCCUCGCCUUGCAGAGGGGCGCGAAGCACAAGGCUCCGGUCCAGGCCGCACAGCGCAGCGACGGGCCCCUCCUGAAGGAUCUCCUGCGGCGGCCGCGGCGCAGUUAGCUCCACGCUAGAGCCCAGGCUACCAGAGCACCCGUCCCUCGGCCGCCUGGAGCGGCUGCAGGCCUCAGCGGGUGGCACUCGCGGUCUGGAAGGGGAAGGUGUCCGCGGAGCCCCCACCCGCCCCCAGCUGUUCCCAUCACUGCUGCAGUUCCAGCCCGAGGCACAGCCGCCCUGGGUCCCUCGUGGGAAUGCUCGUGUGAUGGGCGACCCCAAGCCUGUGGAGACUGUGCUUGUGCCUCUUCCUGGCCCCAGCAGGCAAGGAGGGGCCACAGGCCUUGCCUCAAGCGUGGCUGUUGGCCAUCUGGACUAGCGCUGUGGUGGUUCAGCCACAGUGGUGGCCUCUGGGCAUUCAGCUCAACUCAGAAGGGACAUUCUGCCAGCCCACCCUCUGCACUGUCAGGAAGAGGCCUGUGUCUUCACCCACCUGCCGUCAUCAGCCUUUGCUGUCACUGGGAGAGAAGAGCCAUCCAGGGACCUGUGGUGGCCCACGUGUGGACGCUGCCCGCUGUUGUGUCCUGCAUGCCUGGCUGCCGCCAGUGCCCUCCGUAGGACGAGGUGAAGCUGUGUCAGCGCGUCCUUUACUCAAGAACCCUCAACCCUCUUGCUGUGGGAAGGGCCAGGUCACUCAGACACUGUCGUCCCCACCGACGCAAGGCUUAGCCUGCCUGCCCUGUGCGUCAGGCUGACUGAACUGCGGUCUCUUCCCAUCACUGGCAGCCUCCUGGAGAAAACUGCCACGUGGGAGGACGACCACGCCAGCAGCUCCCGGCCCUGCAGCAGAAGCGCCAGGAUGUCCGUCGGCCACGCGCCUGAGCACGGAGCCGUCAGCCUGCCCCCACCACUUUUAUGGGAGAAUGUUGAUUUCGUGGUUGCAAGGGACAGGGGGACAGAUACUUGGCUGUGAUGGGCAGAUAUCCUCUGUCCCCAUGGAGGGGUGACCACCAAGGUGGUGUUCAUGCCCCAGAACCUGUCUCAGGCUGAUGGGGGCAGCCCACAGGAAGGGGGUCAAUCCCACCGGGCUCUGCCUCCCGCGUCCCCACAUCCCCACGCAGGGCUCUCCUUCCUCUUAGGAUUCUGUUCAGCGCUGCUCUGAGUGAGUUAGCAACCCCCCGGCUGCUGUGAUAGGAAGUCCCUGUUGCUCUCUGUACCGGCAUUUCUAUUUCUAGAAACCUUUACGUAGCCUUAAUGGUCCUUAAAGAAGACAUUUCAGUGUGAAAUUCAGACUUCAGACACUGAAACUGCUGCCUUUUGGGAAAGCACCGUGGGAUACACAGGAGCCGCCCGCGCGCCCGCCCGCACGCACCGCGCGGGGAAACGGGGCUGCGGCAGGGGAAGCCCAGGGCGGUUCUGAGGUGCUUCACAGUAGGCGUUUUUGGAAGCUCAGAUUUCACCAUUUGAUUGUAUAAUCUUUUACCUAGAAAAUAUUUAUUUGAACUAGAGGAUAAAUCAACGGUAAGAACAGUGAACACGGUGGCUGGGAUGAACUGAGGGCACAGACACCACACCAAAGAUUAGGGUAGUGAGCAGCUGGCUUCCGCCGACAGAACGCCGAGGACGCGCCCUGUCCCGAGGGGCCGUCCCGCCCCGAGGUCUGUGUGCGGCCGCCCUGGCUUGGCAGCCCUGCCCACGCCACCCCGCAGACAAUGGUGUGUGCAUUUUUACAGCCCUUUUUAAGAACCCAAUAUGGGUAUAAAUGUAAUACCUGUAGGGAGACAGGUUCUCUGUAUGUUCAGUUAACAAAUUAUUUGUAAUGUAUUUUUUUAGAAAUCUUAAAAUUGCCUUUGCACUGAAGUAUUUUCAUAGCUGUUUAUAUCUCUUUUAUUCAUUUAUUUAACAUAUGGUCUAAUUUUAAAACUAUGUUUUUAAAGCUUUCCUUUUUAAGUUUAUGAAAUUUUGGCCACUUUACAUUUAGAUGCUGGGGAGAUGUUCCAGUCUCUGAUGAAUGUGAAUUUCCAGGUUUGAUUUUAUUCUCCACACAUGCCUCUUCCCUUUCUUGGUAUUUCUGGUGGCGGUGAUUAGUUGAACAGCAUAUUUAAGGUACGAUAAUUUGCUAUGCUUUUUCUUUACAAUUCAUUGCAGUUUCAUCUGCUUUCUAUGUUUUGUUAAUUUCCAUCCUUCAGCCUUAAAAAUAGAAGAUUCUCACAUGAAGGGUUAGUAAGCUGGGGCCCAGUUCUGCUUGUGCCGAGAUAGUCACCACGUACCUCUGACCACAGGUCUUAGUGUGACAGUCACUAAACUUUUACACACUCCCAGACAUCUUUUUAAAAUUGCUUGGGAAAUUAUUAAGUGAAUGUGCCUGAUAAUUUGAACUAGACAAGCGGCAUGAGACGAGAAAUGAAAGGAUGGGAAGACCCUCAGUGACUGACGUUGCAGCUGUGACUCCAGGCAGUUUCCACCUCACACUAGUUAGUAUUUACUUGCCUUAAACUAACUUUGAAGCAAGUAAUGUCAACUUUAAGCACUUUGUUUUAAAAAUCUUAUUCGCUGCUGCACAUGUUAAUGAAUUACCAACUUGUAACUCGGCAUGUUGGUCAGAUACACGGUUGCUGCUCCACACCCAGUCCCUGCCACAGAUCGUCUGUCUCAUACACGCACAGGCAGGCCCGCUGCACAUGAGUUCCCUUCGCUUUGGCUCCAUUUCACUCACAGCCAUGUACACACAUGCAGGCUUGCACACAGGAACACAUGUAUACAUAUGCACAUGGACACACAGGUAUGCAAGCUCCUACAGGCAUGCAUGCACACAAAUGUGUACACAGUGUGUGUGAGCUCCUACACUUAUACACACACAUGUACGGACACCACAAAAGCAUGUGUGAGCUACACACAUAGGCAAUCCAUGCAUAGGUGUACACAUACCACAGGUACAUGAAAGCUCCUACACACAGAAUGCAUGCAUGCACACACACCACAAACAAGCUAAGUUCCUGUACAUGGACGCGUGAGUACAUACAUGCAUGUAUAUUAAGCACAUAUGGACAAGCUCCUAUGGGCUGGUCUCACAUGCCUAUGCACACCAGAAAUACCUAUGAGCUUUUAUACCUGUACACAUGGAUACACACAUGUACAUUCACUACAAACGCGUGCAAGCUCCCACGUGUGCACACGUGAGCUCCUACACAUGUGCACACCCCCAGACGUGCAGGCUCCUGCACUCAUGAAUGCAUGUAUACACACGCAUGUUUGCAUACAUGAACACGUGUGCACACAUGAAUGCACACACAUGCACCCCUGCCUGGUGUCCCACACCGCAUUCUUCCUCCUUCCUGAGGGCCCUGUGAGGGGCCUCUGGCCAGGCGUGGGAAGAUCGGGCUCCCUGGACCCUGCCCCAUGCCUCCGUGCGAAGAAGAGUCCUCCUGGUAGAAUGUCUGGGUUUUGCAGAGCAGGCCCUGGGGGUGAAGCCGCAGCUUCACUUACACAGCUGCUCUGUGCGUCACGCUUGGCGUCCUGGACAAGGCCCUUUCCCCCAGGGAGGUCCGGCCCCACAAGAUGAAACGUCCCCUCGGCUCAGCCCUAAACCAGGCGGCCACAGCAGGGCUGGCUGCAGCAACGCCACACCUCAUCCCCGGCACGUCAGGGAGCAUGGCCAGCCUUCCACCACAAGCCAGCGGGGCAGGGCCACAGCCUCUUCAAGCCCCAGUCAGCCCAGCCUGUGUCUGAGCAGACGCGGCGAACGAGCAGGCCACACAGCCUUGAGGGAGCAGGCCAGUCAUGGCCAGCCUCUCCCGCACGUGACCAUUCAGCUUGCCGAGCGUUUCAACACCUGUUUAGAUGUGCCGUUGGGACUCCACUGAAUUGAGCCUCGGCCCGGGGUCCAGUGCCAUAGCAGGAAACCUCCAGCCUCCUUCAGACCACUCUGUCCAUGUGUUCUGCACUGACUCGUGUUGAAUGAUACAACCACUUUUAUUUAAUCUUACUGUUAUUUAUUUGACAACUCAGUGUCCAACAGCUUGAUAUGCAGGUCCAUGCAUUCCACAUCUCUUUAGGAAGCUACCCAUUUGUAACUUUAAAAACAGGAAAAAUAUCAGUUGGCAAAUGCGAUUUUUUUUUUAUUUUUAGCUAAAGGUGGGUGAACUUGAACAAAAAUGGUUCUCAUGUUGUGUCUAUAGGCAGCUUUGAUGGGGAUGUGUUAGAAGUGUCGUGAAAGUAUGAUUCUACUUUUGCAGAAAAAAAUCUAAAGAUCGAUUUAUAUAGCUUUAUUUUUUACCUUAUCAAAGUAUACAGAAUUUUAAUAUGCAUAUAUUCUGUCUGACUUAAAAUUAUAAUGUCUGCAUUACCAUUUAAAAUGUCUAUCCAUUAUGUAAUGUAAUAAAAGAAGGUCUUCAAAAAUGUACUUAACACGAAUGAUAUCCAUAGCUGUCAUCAUCAUAAAUACUGGAGUUUAUUUUUAAAUUAUUGAACAUAGUAGGUGCAUUUAACAUAAAUCAGCCUCCACACAGUAACAUUUAACUGUUAAUUCAUUAAUCUGCUUUGAAAAAUUAAAUUGUGAAUUAAACCAAAUAUAACAUUUCUGUAAAGUUUAUUUUGUAUGCUCCUGUUUUUAACUUUUAUUUCUGUAGAUAAACUGACCUGAUAAUAUUAAUUGGACUUUUCUCUAGAUUAUCUAAGCAAGAGACCUGAAUCUGCUUGCAAUAAAGAAUAAAAAUCUGCUUCAGUUUCUUCAUAAA
Molecule: non-coding RNA, 10838 nt
Organism: Saimiri boliviensis boliviensis (Bolivian squirrel monkey)
Lineage: Eukaryota; Metazoa; Chordata; Mammalia; Primates; Cebidae
Source: RefSeq, a predicted model, not a curated record